CAGAGUUGAUCCUGGCUCAGGAUGAACGCUAGCUACAGGCUUAACACAUGCAAGUCGAGGGGAACGACAUCGAAAGCUUGCUUUUGAUGGGCGUCGACCGGCGCACGGGUGAGUAACGCGUAUCCAACCUGCCCACCACUUGGGGAUAACCUUGCGGAAGUAAGACUAAUACCCAAUGACGUCUCUAGAAGACAUCUGAAAGGGAUUAAAGAUUUAUCGGUGAUGGAUGGGGAUGCGUCUGAUUAGCUUGUUGGCGGGUAACGGCCACCAAGGCUACGAUCAGUAGGGGUUCUGAGAGGAAGGUCCCCCACAUUGGAACUGAGACACGGUCCAAACUCCUACGGGAGCA
This 349-nucleotide ribosomal RNA is filed under the name uncultured bacterium. RNAcentral describes it as "bacterial SSU rRNA". It matches the Rfam family "Bacterial small subunit ribosomal RNA", at positions 8 to 349 of the family's 1533-position model. The record is from RNAcentral.